Molecule: long non-coding RNA, 107 nt
Organism: Maniola jurtina (meadow brown)
Lineage: Eukaryota; Metazoa; Arthropoda; Insecta; Lepidoptera; Nymphalidae
Exons: 3
Source: RefSeq, a predicted model, not a curated record
CAUUUCCGAUUUGAUCACGUAGCGAAACUCAGAGCAUAGCUUUCUCCAUCGCCGGCUGUGUGACUCUGACCUUUCUUAUGAAGCCCAUAGAGAUCUAGCCUCCAUAU